UCGGAGAGUUUGAUCCUGGCUCAGGACGAACGCUGGCGGCGUGCCUAAUACAUGCAAGUCGAGCGGACAGAUGGGAGCUUGCUCCCUGAUGUCAGCGGCGGACGGGUGAGUAACACGUGGGUAACCUGCCUGUAAGACUGGGAUAACUCCGGGAAACCGGGGCUAAUACCGGAUGCUUGUUUGAACCGCAUGGUU
Molecule: ribosomal RNA, 195 nt
Filed under: Bacillus nakamurai
Lineage: Bacteria; Bacillati; Bacillota; Bacilli; Caryophanales; Bacillaceae
Description: partial 16S ribosomal RNA
Rfam family: Bacterial small subunit ribosomal RNA
Source: RNAcentral